GUCUAAGGCCAUGCUACCCUGAACAAACCCAAUCCGUUCUGAUCUCGGAAGCUAAGCAGGGUCAGGCCUGGUUAGUACUUGGAUGGGAGACCACCUAGGAAGACCAGGUGCUGUAGGCG
Molecule: ribosomal RNA, 119 nt
Filed under: Pteropus alecto (black flying fox)
Lineage: Eukaryota; Metazoa; Chordata; Mammalia; Chiroptera; Pteropodidae
Source: RNAcentral